This 3485-nucleotide long non-coding RNA is filed under the name Sarcophilus harrisii (Tasmanian devil). RNAcentral's name for it is "lncRNA (ENSSHAG00000028579.1)". Lineage: Eukaryota; Metazoa; Chordata; Mammalia; Dasyuromorphia; Dasyuridae. The record is from RNAcentral.
AUAAUCCCCGCCUCCCUCUCCUUCUGGCUUUCUGGACAUGGAUCCCAUGAUCCUCUUCAGGUCCCUUUUCAUAUAGAAUUUCCCUGAUAGUCUAACUUCCUUGAGGACAGGGGUUGGUUGUCUUUCUUUUGGCUUAUACUUGCAUUUCCAGAGCUUAGUACAGUGCCUGGCACACAAUAAGUGCUUAAUAAAUACUUGUUGCCUUGUCUGGUCCCUAAAAUGCUGGUAAAUCUUAAAGUACUACAUAGCUUUCACCAUUGUCAAUCUCAUCUUCAUAUUUGAUGAACCUAUGCUCUUUAGAGUACUUAGGAAAGAAAAACCUGACCAAGCAUCUUCAGCACUCUCUACAGUAUUUAUUAAGUGCCUACUAUUUGCCAGGCAUUAUGCUAAACACUACAAAUAAUAUCUCAUUUGAUCUCUCAAAACCUCUAGGACUUAGGUGCUAUUGUUAUCACCAUUUUUACUGAUGAGGAAACCCAAACUGACAGAGAUUUGCCCAUGACCAUUUAGGUUUUCGGGAUCCCUGUCUCAGAGCUCUACCCACUGGCUCUAAAGGGGGGCCCUGACCAAUCAUCACAUAGGGCAGUGAGAUGGCACAAUGGACUUAGAGUUCUAAAAAGCCUGGCUACAAAUCCAGCCUCAGAUAUUUACUGUGUAAUUAGCAAAUUAGUUAGUCAUUUUACUCAGUUUGCCUCAGUUUCCCCAACUGUAAAAUGAGCCAGAGAAGGAAAUGGUAAACUACUCCAUUGUUUUUGCCAAGAAAACCCCUAAUGUCUCAAAAAGUUGGACACAACUGAAGCCCAACCGAGCAGCCAGUAGGAAUGUCCUGGUGAGUUCAGCGGCCCUGUCCCGAGAGGGAUGAAGGAGGGGUCCCCAGAAUGACAUGACAAGGCAAAGGACCCCAGAUGAAGGAGCUGGGAGAUCCCAGCUCUGCCUCUGGGAUCCUGGGCCUCCACUUCCUCAUCUGUAAAACGUGAGCAGGGGGGAAGCUUCACAAAUAUUCUUUUCCAUAAGGUCUUUCAAAGGUCUUCCAGGAAAUCGGUCUGAGGGAGUUUGUGAAAAUGCACAGCCACAAACUGGUCAGGACCCUUCCAAGCCGGGUACAUUCCCCCCAGUAAGCCCCAGGGGAGCUCAUCCCCUAGCCUCUUAUCCUAGGAGAGUCAGGGAAAAUACCGCUACAUUUUUGUCUGAGAAAAGGUUUUUGGGAAUGGAAAAUAAAUCUCUUCUGAGGGUCAAAUAAGGGAGCCGGAGCCGGUCUCUUUAUCCAAGGCCUCAGGAAGGAAUUAGAUGUUCAGUGGCUAUACUCCUUAGGGGACUGGGAGGGCCCCAGAUCCAGCCCUAUGAUUUCAACAUCUGCCCUUCCAGGCUCCACCCUCACCUUAAGCCCCCAAACCAAGAACCGCAAGGAACAAAUACUGCAAGAAAAAGCACAGGCCGUCCAAACUGGCAGGUCCCCAGAACAGACUCCAGAGCUCGCAGGGACCUCGGGCCGAGCCUUGGAGCCAGGAGGAAGUGAAGUUGCCUUCCCUAAUUUUGCAGCUGAGGAAGCUCAGGCCCAAAGUCACACAAGCAAAUUGGUAUCUGAGCUGGAAUUUGAACUCCGGUCCACAGGCAGCCUUCUAACUACAUCCCUCUGGCUCCACAGAAUAUAGAAAGCCAGAGCAGGGAGAGGCUUCCUGCAGACAGCCCUGGACCUGAAGUCAGGAGUUCAAAUCUAGUCAUAGGAAGACCUGAGUUCAAAUCUAGCCAUGGGAAGAUAAGUUUAAAUCUAGCCAUGGACACUUUCUAGCUAUGUAAGUCUGGAUAAGUCACUUCACCUCUGUCUGUCCCAGUUUCUCCAUCUGUAAAAUGGGAAUGAUAAUAGUAACUCCCUCCCAGGCUUCUUGUAAUGAUCAAGUAAGAGAGCAGAUAUAAAGUGCUUUGUAAAGUUUAAAGAGCUAUAGAAAUGCUUACUGGUCAUAUGAUAUGGAUGUUAUAGCAGGGAUUAAAUAGCUAAAGAGAGUCUUUUCAAUUCUCCAUAAUAUUUAAUAGAGAUAAGUGCACUUGAACAGGAAUACAGUUAUCCCUUUCACAUUGCAGAGGUUGGGGAUCAGAGCCCCUGCAUCCUGGACAAUUCACAUAAAAUGGUUUGGCUUUCCCUUUGUACCACAGAGGAAAUCUGAAUUAGUAUAAUGUUAAAAAAUGAAAAAUGUUGAUAUUAUAGGACAUGGAAUUAUUAUGAUAUUAAAAGAUAAAAUAUGUUAAUAUUAUAUAAUACUACACAUUUAUUUUAUGCAUUUUUGAGGUUCUAAACUUUUUCUGUGUUAAAUACAGGCUUCGGCUUGGCAUCUGCAGCUUCUGCAAAACUUCCAAAAAAUUCCCAUUUAAUUUGUUGUGCUGACUCACUUUUCCAUGGGGAAAGUCACGGUGUGGAAGGGAUAAUUGUAUCUGUAAAGUCUUAUGCUUAGGAUAAACAAAUCUGCUGUUCAGACUAAAAGAGGCUGCAUAACGAAUGGUUCAUGUAACAGACAACAGACGUGUCCAGUGGAUUACAAUCUCAAUGCACAUGAACAUUGUGAUACAGUCAUCAACCUAGGAAACGGACUUUCAGGGCACCAACAAUUAACUCUUUGUGACUCCAUCUGAGGCUUUCUGGGCAGAGACACUGGUGUGAUUGGCCAUUUCCUUCUCCAGCUCAUUCUAGGAAACCGAGGCAAAACAGAGGGAAGUGACUUGCCCAGAGUCACACGGCUAGGAAGGCUGGAUUUGAACCCAGGUUUUCCUGACUCUUGCUCUCUCCACUGAGCCUCCUAGCCGUCUGUAGCAGAAGCAUAAGGGUCAGAACAAGAGAAGCAAUGGCCUCUGGCUGCUCUGUGUCAGACCACACCUGGUACGUCAUGUUUAUGUAUUUCUAGGAGUCUCAAGGACAAACACUGACAAGCUGGAGCCUGUCCAGGGAAAGGCGACUAUGACCAUGACCAUGGGAGGGUUGAACAAGGCCUAGAAAAGAGACAUGGGGGAUGGAGCCAGUGAGAGCAGUUCUCAAGAACAGAAGGGCUGUCACAGGGUGGGCAGAACGGGGACCACUGGGGGCAAGGGGCAGGGGGCAGAAAUAAGAAAGGAAAAGCUGACCACCUGAUAGUGAGAGCUGGGCUAAAAUGUAAGGAGAGGCAGGGAUGGCUGGAGAACGUGGGAAAGGAGCCCCAGUACAGGAACAGCUUAGAGUAGAGGUCAAGGAGGGCUCUUCCAGAUCUGAGACUGUAAUGAGAGUUAGUUAGUGGAGCUUGAGAGCCCAAGAUGUCAGAACCAGGAGGGCCCUUAGAACCCAGGAGGUCAGAGUUGGGAGGGCCCUUAGAACACAGGAGGUCAGAGCCGGGAGGGCCCUUAGAACACAGGAGGUCAGAGCCGGGAGGGCCCUAAGAACCUGGGAUAUCAGAGCUGGGAGAGCCCUUAGAACACAGGAGGUCAGAGCUGGGAGGGCUCUUAGAACCCGGGACGUCGGAGCU